This 72-nucleotide transfer RNA is filed under the name Camelus bactrianus (Bactrian camel). It matches the Rfam family "tRNA". Rfam says of the family: Transfer RNA (tRNA) molecules are approximately 80 nucleotides in length. Their secondary structure includes four short double-helical elements and three loops (D, anti-codon, and T loops). Lineage: Eukaryota; Metazoa; Chordata; Mammalia; Artiodactyla; Camelidae. The record is from Rfam by way of RNAcentral. RNAcentral also lists the same sequence under 2 other names.
GAGGGUAUAGCUCCAUGGUAGAGUGGAUGCCUAGCAUGUAUGAGGUCCUGAGUCCAAUCCCCAGUACCUCCA